RNAcentral lists this ribosomal RNA (437 nucleotides) under uncultured Clostridium sp. Its description in RNAcentral is "partial 16S ribosomal RNA". It matches the Rfam family "Bacterial small subunit ribosomal RNA", at positions 341 to 792 of the family's 1533-position model. Lineage: Bacteria; Bacillati; Bacillota; Clostridia; Eubacteriales; Clostridiaceae. The record is from RNAcentral.
ACGGAAGGCAGCAGUGGGGAAUAUUGGGCAAUGGGCGAAAGCCUGACCCAGCGACGCCGCGUGAGGGAAGAAGGUCUUCGGAUUGUAAACCUCUUUCAGCAGGGAAGAAGGAAGUGACGGUACCUGCAGAAGAAGCCACGGCUAACUACGUGCCAGCAGCCGCGGUAAUACGUAGGGGGCAAGCGUUAUCCGGAUUUACUGGGUGUAAAGGGAGCGUAGACGGUACGGCAAGUCUGAAGUGAAAUGUCGGGGCUCAACCCCGGAACUGCUUUGGAAACUGUCGAACUAGAGUGCAGGAGAGGUAAGUGGAAUUCCUAGUGUAGCGGUGAAAUGCGUAGAUAUUAGGAGGAACACCGGUGGCGAAGGCGGCUUACUGGACUGUAACUGACGUUGAGGCUCGAAAGCGUGGGGAGCAAACAGGAUUAGAUACCCUGGUA